GGUUGAUCCUGCCGGAGGCCAUUGCUAUCGGAGUUCGAUUUAGCUAUGCUAGUCGCACGGGUUUAGACCCGUGGCGAAAAGCUCAGUAACACGUGGCCAAACUACCCUAUGGAUCGGAAUACCCUCGGGAAACUGAGGACAAUUCCGAAUACCGCUCCUGCACUGGGAUGUGCGGAGCUCGAAAUACUACGGUGCCAUAGGAUGUGGCUGCGGCCGAUUAGGUUGACGGUGGGGUAACGGCCCACCGUGCCCAUAAUCGGUACGGGUUGUGAGAGCAAGAGCCCGGAGACGGUAUCUGAGACAAGAUACCGGGCCCUACGGGGCGCAGCAGGCGCGAAACCUUUACACUGCACGACAGUGCGAUAAGGGAACUCCGAGUGCGAGGGCAUAGAGCCCUCGCUUUUGUACACCGUAAGAUGGUGCACGAAUAAGGGCUGGGCAAGACCGGUGCCAGCCGCCGCGGUAAUACCGGCAGCCCAAGUGAUGGCCGAUAUUAUUGGGCCUAAAGCGUCCGUAGCUGGCCGGACAAGUCCGUUGGGAAAUCCGCGUGCUUAACGCGCGGGCGUCCAGCGGAAACUGUCCGGCUUGGGGCCGGAAGACCUGAGGGGUACGUCCGGGGUAGGAGUGAAAUCCUGUAGUCUCGGACGGACCGCCUGUGGCGAAAGCGCCUCAGGAAGACGGACCCGACAGUGAGGGACGAAAGCCAGGGUCUCGAACCGGAUUAGAUACCCGGGUAGUCCUGGCUGUAAACGAUGUCCGCUAGGUGGUGGCGCAGGCUACGAGCCUGCGCUGUGCCGUAGGGAAGCCGUGAAGCGGACCGCCUGGGAAGUACGUCUGCAAGGAUGAAACUUAAAGGAAUUGGCGGGGGAGCACUACAACCGGAGGAGCCUGCGGUUUAAUUGGACUCAACGCCGGACAUCUCACCAGUUCCGACAGCAGUAAUGACGGUCAGGUU
Molecule: ribosomal RNA, 955 nt
Filed under: uncultured Halobacterium sp.
Lineage: Archaea; Methanobacteriati; Methanobacteriota; Halobacteria; Halobacteriales; Halobacteriaceae
Description: bacterial SSU rRNA
Rfam family: Archaeal small subunit ribosomal RNA
Source: RNAcentral